Molecule: long non-coding RNA, 603 nt
Organism: Toxorhynchites rutilus septentrionalis
Lineage: Eukaryota; Metazoa; Arthropoda; Insecta; Diptera; Culicidae
Exons: 3
Source: RefSeq, a predicted model, not a curated record
AGACAUUUUGUUGUGCAAAUGUCGAUUAUAGGCAAAUUUAUCGUGUUACUCCAAUGACAGCACGAUUGAUCUAAUGUGAUAACAAAUCGAUAGUAUGUGAAUGGAAUCCGCCGGAUAAUAAGCGCAUUGGCGUAGUCGCGUGAAAUUCAUGCCAGCUUGUGUGCAACUGCCUACGACAUUACAUCGCAAUUAAAGCAGACAAGUUGGUGCAAAAGAGCGCUAUCACACCCAUGAAUGAAAGCUCCAGCCGUUCGAAACUGGUUGCAGUAGGUUUUUGGACCGAUAUCUAUGUUUGCACCCUUCGCAUACCUAAUCUUGAAUUUGUUCACACUGAGAAACUCGGAGGAGAACCAAUUCUUCGCUCUAUUUUGAUGGAUUACUUUGAGGGUAUCUCUUAUUUAUAUUGCGCACUCGAAGACGGUUCAAUGUUCUACUUCGUCAUGGAGAAAAAUACCAACAGAGUAAUAGACCAAAGAAAGUUACGCUUGGAAUCCAGCUGACUUCUGAAAAUUUUCCGGUCACUUCCGACAACAAACGUGUUCGCCUGUUUUGAUUGCCUAACCGAUAUUUACAGUUCUAACAACAAGUUGGUUUUCUCGAAUG